GCGUCCCUGGCUCAAUUGGAUAGAGCAUCGGUCUACGGAACCGAAGGUUAGAGGUUCGAAUCCUCUGGGACGCG
RNAcentral lists this transfer RNA (74 nucleotides) under Phycisphaerae bacterium. RNAcentral describes it as "tRNA-Arg". It matches the Rfam family "tRNA". Rfam says of the family: Transfer RNA (tRNA) molecules are approximately 80 nucleotides in length. Their secondary structure includes four short double-helical elements and three loops (D, anti-codon, and T loops). Further hydrogen bonds mediate the characteristic L-shaped molecular structure. tRNAs have two regions of fundamental functional importance: the anti-codon, which is responsible for specific mRNA codon recognition, and the 3' end, to which the tRNAs corresponding amino acid is attached (by aminoacyl-tRNA synthetases). tRNAs cope with the degeneracy of the genetic code in two manners: having more than one tRNA (with a specific anti-codon) for a particular amino acid; and 'wobble' base-pairing, i.e. permitting non-standard base-pairing at the 3rd anti-codon position. Lineage: Bacteria; Pseudomonadati; Planctomycetota; Phycisphaerae. The record is from RNAcentral.